AUGUGGCUUCCUCCAAGUAGAUGGAUGGUAGGAAGAACAGGCUGUGGGCACCGGCUCAUGAAGCAGCUGUGGUCUAAGAGACACUCCAGUCUGGUCAGUUGUAUGCUGCUGCUGCUGCUGCUGCUUAAUCACUUCAGUCCAACUCUCUGUGACCCAACGGACUGCAGCCCACCAAGCUCCUCUGUCCUUGGGAUUCUCUAGGCAAGAGUACUGGUGUGAGUGUUCAGUUGUAUAUGGGCCAUCUAUUAACACACUUGCUCUUGAAUUUUUUGCACUCAUUUACAUAUUUAUCUCAGUGUUUUUAUGUUCUUUUCAUAUUUAUUUUUGUAUUUUGCUAUUAAAAAUGUAAGUUCCUUGAGUGAAAUCAUUGCAUCCUGCAUUCCUUUUGUUAUUUUGGGUUUUAUCAGUAGAGGGUAGAACAAACAUAUCAUUUGCAUGCAGUGAAUGUUGGCGACUGACUGGCA
Molecule: long non-coding RNA, 464 nt
Filed under: Ovis aries (sheep)
Lineage: Eukaryota; Metazoa; Chordata; Mammalia; Artiodactyla; Bovidae
Description: lncRNA (ENSOARG00000026170.1)
Source: RNAcentral